Molecule: ribosomal RNA, 462 nt
Filed under: bacterium mgm18
Lineage: Bacteria
Description: bacterial SSU rRNA
Rfam family: Bacterial small subunit ribosomal RNA
Source: RNAcentral
CUCAGGAUGAACGCUGGCGGCGUGCUUAACACAUGCAAGUCGAACGAUGAUCCGGUGCUUGCGCCGGGGAUUAGUGGCGAACGGGUGAGUAACACGUGAGUAACCUGCCCUUAACUCUGGGAUAAGCCUGGGAAACUGGGUCUAAUACCGGAUAUGACUCCUCAUCGCAUGGUGGGGGGUGGAAAGCUUUUUGUGGUUUUGGAUGGACUCGCGGCCUAUCAGCUUGUUGGUGAGGUAAUGGCUUACCAAGGCGACGACGGGUAGCCGGCCUGAGAGGGUGACCGGCCACACUGGGACUGAGACACGGCCCAGACUCCUACGGGAGGCAGCAGUGGGGAAUAUUGCACAAUGGGCGAAAGCCUGAUGCAGCGACGCCGCGUGAGGGAUGACGGCCUUCGGGUUGUAAACCUCUUUCAGUAGGGAAGAAGCGAAAGUGACGGUACCUGCAGAAGAAGCGCCGGG